RNAcentral lists this ribosomal RNA (440 nucleotides) under uncultured bacterium. RNAcentral describes it as "partial 16S ribosomal RNA". It matches the Rfam family "Bacterial small subunit ribosomal RNA", at positions 338 to 795 of the family's 1533-position model. The record is from RNAcentral.
CCUACGGGCGGCAGCAGUAGGGAAUAUUGCUCAAUGGGGGAAACCCUGAAGCAGCAACGCCGCGUGGAGGAUGCAGGUUUUCGGAUUGUAAACUCCUUUUGUUAGGGAAGAAAAUGACGGUAUCUAACGAAUAAGCACCGGCUAACUCCGUGCCAGCAGCCGCGGUAAUACGGAGGGUGCAAGCGUUACGCGGAAUCACUGGGCGUAAAGAGCUCGUAGGCGGGAUAGCAAGUCAGAUGUGAAAUCCUAUGGCUUAACCAUAGAACUGCAUUUGAGACUAUUAAUCUAGAGUAAGGGAGAGGUAAGGGGAAUUCUUGGUGUAGCGGUGAAAUGCGUAGAGAUCAGGAGGAAUACUCAUUGCGAAGGCGACCUGCUGGGACGUAACUGACGCUGAUGCGCGAAAGCGUGGGGAGCAAACAGGAUUAGAUACCCGUGUAGUC